RNAcentral lists this ribosomal RNA (16 nucleotides) under Diplopeltis huegelii. RNAcentral describes it as "partial 26S ribosomal RNA". The record is from RNAcentral. Lineage: Eukaryota; Viridiplantae; Streptophyta; Magnoliopsida; Sapindales; Sapindaceae.
ACGCACAGCGACCCCA